AUUGAACGCUGGCGGCAGGCUUAACACAUGCAAGUCGAGCGGUAGCACAAGAGAGCUUGCUCUCUGGAUGGCGAGCGGCGGACGGGAGAGUUAUGUCUGUGAAACUGCCUGAUGGAGGGGGUUAACUACUGGAAACGGUAACUAAUACCGCAUAACGUCGCAAGACCAAAGAGGGGGACCUUCGGGCCUCUUGCCUUCAGAUGUGCCCAGGUGGGAUUAGCUAGUAGGUGGGGUAAUGGCUCACCUAGGCGACGAUCCGUAGCUGGUCUGAGAGGAUGACCAGCCACACUGGAACUGAGACACGGUCCAGACUCCUACGGGAGGCAGCAGUGGGGAAUAUUGGACAAUGGGCGCAAGCCUGAUGCAGCCAUGCCGCGUGUGUGAAGAAGGCCUUCGGGUUGUAAAGCACUUUCAGCUAGGAGGAAGGUGGGUAACUUAAUACGUUCAUCAAUUGACGUUACUCGCAGAAGAAGCACCGGCUAACUUCGUG
Molecule: ribosomal RNA, 490 nt
Filed under: uncultured bacterium
Lineage: Bacteria
Description: partial 16S ribosomal RNA
Rfam family: Bacterial small subunit ribosomal RNA
Source: RNAcentral